RNAcentral lists this non-coding RNA (21 nucleotides) under Caenorhabditis elegans. Lineage: Eukaryota; Metazoa; Nematoda; Chromadorea; Rhabditida; Rhabditidae. The record is from RNAcentral.
UUCGUCUAAAACUGUAAAUUC